Magnolia sinica is the source of this 1481-nucleotide long non-coding RNA. RefSeq lists it as uncharacterized. NCBI's taxonomy places the organism in Eukaryota, Viridiplantae, Streptophyta, Magnoliopsida, Magnoliales, Magnoliaceae. The record is from RefSeq and is a predicted model, not a curated record. The transcript has 2 exons.
CAGGCUUAGCCUUGUGAUUUAUUCACAUAGGGCCUAUUUCUACUUGAACUAUUAUUGACAAAUCAAGACAACCGUAACUAAAUAAAGACAUGCCGAAAGCUGAGACAAGUAGGAGUCAGAUCUUAAUUAACAAACCAAAUUAAUCUAAUUACUCCUCUAGCCUAAGAACCAACGGUUUAGGGUUAUUAGGAUCGAGUCGCUGUUUCUACCAAUUAUAAAUUGGUCACACUAUAAACUUAACUAAUCCAAACCCUAAUAAUUGUAUACAAGAAAUCUCAUUACCCAAUUCAUUCCAAAAAUGCCAUAAUUAUCCAAAUAAGCUCUGAACCGCUCGUUUGUUGCCCACUAAACCCGAAACUAUAGAAUAAUGUCUGUCUCACUAGGCUUGAUACUCAUCACGGGUGGUAAACCAAGAUAGUGCCCAGAAUUACUGAACUUAGGCUGCAAUCUAAGUGCUUUAAAUAUGCGAAUCCCGUAGAUUGAAAUAUGGAACUUAAGUGAAACUAGUGACUUUGUUCUUUCAUGAAGUUGUGACUUUCGGACCGUCGAUUCAUGGACAAAGCCGGGGUACCGACUAAAGAUAUUUCCUAAUACAUAUCCGUAUAGCCAAGGCCCCAAUUGAUCAUCAGUGACCGUCGAUCUAAGUUAUGGCCUUCCCGAUUAAUACGCACGUCCGAUCAUCGGAUGGUUGUGUCUAAACAUAGAUCGCCUAUUGAGACACUCAUUACAUGACUUAGAUUGACCUGUACGCCUCCUAGUGAGUCUCAUUGAUUAGAAACAACCCCCUCCAGGGUCAAUAUAAUGAAUAAAGGGCCAUUAGGGCCAUAUGCACCUAAUCUAGUAUUAUAAAUAUGGCAUUUGGGGGCCUCCUUUGCUCCCAUACGAAUUUCAUACCUUAUAAGAGAAAGAAAAAAAAAUGGAAAGAGAAAGAGAAGAAAAGAAAAAGAGGAAGAGAGUUGUGAGAGAGAGAGAGAGAAGGACCUUGGUGCUUCGGGGUUAAUAGUUCAUCAAUCAAACCCUUUAACUUACCGAAUCCUUCGCCAAAUCUACCGUCACUCGCAACUAAAGGUAAGACUUACUUUCAACAAUUCAAUUUCACAACUUAUACCUCAUUUACUUAUAAUUAACAAUACUUCCUUGCUUGACAUUAGGAAUUAGUGAUUUUACCCAAAUUCACAAUCCUAGGAGCUCAAAGAUUGAAAAUUCCUUCUUAAGGUUCUAUCGAAGCCUCUGGCGAGUUGGCUCAUAUCAGCUUGGACUUUCGUCGUGAUGCCUUGGGAGUGUCGAGCGAAGCUAGAAGACUUUGCUUUUAUUCCUGUUUUGUGCUUGUAUAUGUUAGAAUCCCUGAUCGGGCAUGCUUUAUGUGUAAGUUUUGUUGUACGUUCAUUAUGACUUGUAUAAUCCCCAUUUUAGGCGUUCACUAUUACUGGAAUUGUAUUUUUUACCAUUAGCAUUAUAUUUAUGGAUUUCUGUUAUCUUUA